Molecule: ribosomal RNA, 490 nt
Filed under: uncultured bacterium
Lineage: Bacteria
Description: partial 16S ribosomal RNA
Rfam family: Bacterial small subunit ribosomal RNA
Source: RNAcentral
AUUGAACGCUGGCGGCAUGCUUUACACAUGCAAGUCGAACGGCAGCGGGGUAGUGCUUGCACUACUGCCGGCGAGUGGCGAACGGGUGAGUAAUAUAUCGGAACGUACCGAGUAAUGGGGGAUAACCAAUCGAAAGAUUGGCUAAUACCGCAUACGUCCUGAGGGAGAAAGCGGGGGAUCGCAAGACCUCGCGUUAUUCGAGCGGCCGAUAACUGAUUAGCUAGUUGGUGGGGUAAAGGCCUACCAAGGCGACGAUCAGUAGCGGGUCUGAGAGGACGAUCCGCCACACUGGGACUGAGACACGGCCCAGACUCCUACGGGAGGCAGCAGUGGGGAAUUUUGGACAAAGGGGGCAACCCUGAUCCAGCCAUGCCGCGUGUAUGAAGAAGGCCUUCGGGUUGUAAAGUACUUUUGUUAGGGAAGAAAAGGGAAGUGCUAAUACCACUUUUUGCUGACGGUACCUAAAGAAUAAGCACCGGCUAACUACGUG